Molecule: ribosomal RNA, 465 nt
Filed under: uncultured bacterium
Lineage: Bacteria
Description: partial 16S ribosomal RNA
Rfam family: Bacterial small subunit ribosomal RNA
Source: RNAcentral
GACGAACGCUGGCGGCGUGCUUAACACAUGCAAGUCGAACGGAAAGGCCCCUUCGGGGGUACUCGAGUGGCGAACGGGUGAGUAACACGUGAGUAACCUGCCCUUGACUUCGGGAUAACUUCAGGAAACUGGGGCUAAUACCGGAUAGGAAUCCUUGCUGCAUGGUGGGGGUUGGAAAGCUUCGGCGGUUUUGGAUGGACUCGCGGCUUAUCAGCUUGUUGGUGGGGUAGUGGCUUACCAAGGCUUUGACGGGUAGCCGGCCUGAGAGGGCGACCGGCCACAUUGGGACUGAGAUGCGGCCCAGACUCCUACGGGAGGCAGCAGUGGGGAAUAUUGCACAAUGGGCGGAAGCCUGAUGCAGCAACGCCGCGUGCGGGAUGACGGCCUUCGGGUUGUAAACCGCUUUCAGCAGGGGCGAAGCUUGUGGUGACGGUACCUGCAGAAGAAGCACCGGCUAACUACGUG